RNAcentral lists this long non-coding RNA (606 nucleotides) under Cottoperca gobio. RNAcentral describes it as "lncRNA (ENSCGOG00000023529.1)". The record is from RNAcentral. Lineage: Eukaryota; Metazoa; Chordata; Actinopteri; Perciformes; Bovichtidae.
UGAUGAUAUAUUAAAAAUGUUUGGAUUUGCUCAGCUUUAUUAAUUAUAAACAGUGAACACAUCUGAAAUAAAACAUAGUUUUAUAGUAAACUGAUUUGACAAGUUAUCAGCUUAGACUGAAACCACCACCCAACUCCAGUCCGGGUUUUCCAAGCGACACCUGCUAACUGAGAAAUUCAAUUAAGGACUCCUCUUCCCACUUGGAGCCGGUCUCCAGGGCAGAUCUUCCGGGCGACUCACCCUGUAAGAAAUUAGAAAAUGCUACAAUAAAACCCGAAAAACUGAAAAAAAUGUGGCAACUUUAUUAAUGAAAGCUCUCACGCUAUCCACCGUAAACAAACACGUCCCUUUAGUUGGAAGUCACCGAAAGACAGCGAAGUACCUCAGAUCAUUCAUGGAAAGCCAUCUUCUAUAUUAAAAAUGCCACUGCUAGUACAACACAAGACAUCAGAUGGCAGUAAAGGGAGCAUCGGGCACAGGCGGUAACUCCUCCGUGGAUCCAGCUUCGGCACAGAUUGUUCAACAGUAAGGUGAGUCUUAAACUUAUAUUCGUGUCUCAUCAACCAAUAUUUGCUGUAAUUUUGAUAACACAUGUAUUAAAUAGCU